GAAGAUGCAACCUCUUCCUUCCAUCAGUAAACUGCUCCUGUGGAAAAACCUCGCCAGUGACCAUAAGUGAUCUGGUUGAAAGUGGUUACUGGCCAGCCACUGUCAAUUUUGAGACCUUGUACUUGGUGGACUUGUUCACCACGUAUGAGGAUCUAAAAAUCACUGCCCCAGGGAUGUCAGUAUGCUUGAGUGUUGUACAAAACUUUUGUCAGCAUGCUCGAGUGUCGUACAAAACUCUUCGGGUGAGUGAGUGGACUCAUCAUUUAAGUUAUCCUGUCUGGAUCACCUUUUAAAUAACGGAUUCAUUGUUAGGACUUGUUCUUACAAUCCCCAAAGUGUCAGCACACAUUUCUUGACAGAGCCCUUUCUUCGUCAUGACCACGGUCUAAAGCCAACCUUCGAAACAGUUACUUACUGUUUUGUAUUGUUUUUUCACUUUUGGUCUAAGAGUGGUAAGAUAUGUGGGGACACAAUGCAGAGGGCCUUCCUCGAAUGGGCCUAUGCCAAAUUUGAGGUUGACAAGCUGUCUCAGGUCCAGCAUUUUCAGUGCCCUGCAUGCAUACCCUCCAUGUUGGCAGUUGCAGUGGAUGGGUACCACAAAUUACAUCGUUUCAAAAGCCAACCAGGGUGUGUAAAAUUCAUGUACAAUGAAAUGCUAGUGAUUUACUUUUAUACAGUAAAUUUAACCCACAUCUAUAUAUUUCUUUCAAGACCUGAUGGGUUUUUUUGGCCAAUGAUGCUGAGGUGUCCUCCUUUGUUGAUUACAUCCAUGGAGCAACUGGACAUCAUCCAGGGAAAGGGAGAUGUGGUGUGGGUCAGUGGACCGCAGCACGAGAGUCCGCCAACAAGUCUGCAAGCAAACUAGACGAGGAAGGUGUUGAAGUUGCUGUCAGCCGUCAUGGGGUUUUGCUGAAAGGACUGAAUAUGUUCCGUGGAGAAAUAUUUGCAUACCCAUUAUAUCUCCAGAAACAGCUAGCUUCACAGACCGUCCAGUUUUUUAGCUCUGAUGUGGUCUGCAAAUAUUGGCCAUAUCUGCAGAAAGUUGUGGACCACUGUCCAGAGUUGGAGGACUUGCUGAACAUGCGCCCAUUUCUCUCCAUCAUGCAUGCAAAAGUGCAUUCAUGGAUGUAAUAAUGACAAUUAGAUGUAUUUCUUACCAUUUGCACCACACAUUAUGAUUGUCUGUCCUCUGCCCCUACUUGGUGUUUUCCAAAUUAUAAUGUGUUACAGUUAAAAGGGGGGGGGGGCGCAAUCAAGAAGGAGCUGGAACAACAAUCGGGGAGGAGGUUGAAUAGGUUAACAGCUUCCUCUCUCGAGCAGCCAUAUGUUGCAAGUACAUGUCUAAAGCCGGUAAGCAUUUUUCAUGUAUAGUUGUGUCCAAAUUGAGACCAAGGGUUUUGAACACUGAUGCUCGGCCUUUCCAUUUUAGAGUUCCAUGCAUAGGUGCUCCCUUAGAAUACAACAGUCUGGUCAGCACUUUUACACUGAUCAGGAUUCUCUUUAUAAUAAUUUAACUUCUGACACAUUAAUUAAGUGUAUGAUCAGCUGAUCAUACACUUGAUGACCUAACCCAGUCAUUCAAAUCAUUUAUAUCUGCCACAGCAAAUAGGCUACACAAUGCAUCUAAUGUUAUAGUUAGAUUUAAGUAGACAAAAAAAGUGUGUGCAGUGCUUUAUUGGAUGGCAUGGUUAACUAGUAUAUAACUCUCUCACACUUACACACAAUCUCUCUCUCACACACACGCACACACUCAUGCACACACAUGCACAUGCACGCACACACGCACACACACACACACACACACACACACACACACACNNNNNNNNNNNNNNNNNNNNNNNNNNNNNNNNNNNNNNNNNNNNNNN
Long non-coding RNA from Cyprinus carpio (common carp), 1865 nucleotides. The record is from Ensembl. NCBI's taxonomy places the organism in Eukaryota, Metazoa, Chordata, Actinopteri, Cypriniformes, Cyprinidae.